RNAcentral lists this unclassified non-coding RNA (259 nucleotides) under plant metagenome. Its description in RNAcentral is "partial contains small subunit ribosomal RNA, internal transcribed spacer 1, and 5.8S ribosomal RNA". The record is from RNAcentral.
CGUAGGUGAACCUGCGGAAGGAUCAUUAUUGUAUAACCGAGGUGCGAGGGCUGUCGCUGACCCGAAAGGUCGUGCACGCCCGAGUGCCCUCACACACAUCCAUCUCACCCCUAAAUGCACCACCGCGUGGUUCCCCCUUUGGCUUGUUCGGAGGGGGGCUUACGUUUUCACACAAACUUUGUAUGCAGUGUAGAAUGUAUUUUUUGUUUUUGCGAUCACGCAAUCAAUACAACUUUCAACAACGGAUCUCUUGGCUCUC